RNAcentral lists this ribosomal RNA (972 nucleotides) under uncultured archaeon. RNAcentral describes it as "bacterial SSU rRNA". It matches the Rfam family "Archaeal small subunit ribosomal RNA", at positions 85 to 1058 of the family's 1478-position model. The record is from RNAcentral.
ACUGCUCAGUAACACGUGGACAACCUGCCCUUAGGUUGGGUAUAAACCCGGGAAACUGGGUAUAAUACCCGAUAGGUCUCGAUUGCCGGAAUGCAUCGAGAUUUAAAGCUCCGGCGCCUAAGGAUGGGUCUGCGGCCUAUCAGGUAGUAGUGGGUGUAGCGUACCUACUAGCCUACGACGGGUACGGGUUGUGAGAGCAAGAGCCCGGAGAUGGAUUCUGAGACACGAAUCCAGGCCCUACGGGGUGCAGCAGGCGCGAAAACUUUACAAUGCUGGCAACAGCGAUAAGGGAACCUCGAGUGCCAGGUUACAAAUCUGGCUGUCGAGAUGCCUAAAAAGCAUUUCAUAGCAAGGGCCGGGCAAGACCGGUGCCAGCCGCCGCGGUAACACCGGCGGCUCGAGUGGUAACCGUUAUUAUUGGGUCUAAAGGGUCUGUAGCCGGCCGGAUAAGUCUCUUGAGAAAUCUGGCAGCUUAACUGUCAGGCUUUCAGGAGAUACUGUCUGGCUCGAGGCCGGGAGAGGUGAGAGGUACUUCAGGGGUAGGGGUGAAAUCUUGUAAUCCUUGAAGGACCACCAGUGGCGAAGGCGUCUCACCAGAACGGACCUGACGGCAAGGGACGAAAGCUAGGGGCACGAACCGGAUUAGAUACCCGGGUAGUCCUAGCCGUAAACGAUACUCGCUAGGUGUCGGCCACGGUGCGACCGUUGUCGGUGCCGUAGGGAAGCCGUGAAGCGAGCCACCUGGGAAGUACGGCCGCAAGGCUGAAACUUAAAGGAAUUGGCGGGGGAGCACCACAACGGGUGGAGCUUGCGGUUUAAUUGGAUUCAACGCCGGAAAUCUUACCGGGACCGACAGCAAUAUGAAGGCCAGGCUGAAGACUUUGCCGGAUUAGCUGAGAGGUGGUGCAUGGCCGUCGUCAGUUCGUACUGUGAAGCAUCCUGUUAAGUCAGGCAACGAGCGAGACCCCCACC